RNAcentral lists this ribosomal RNA (495 nucleotides) under uncultured bacterium. RNAcentral describes it as "partial 16S ribosomal RNA". It matches the Rfam family "Bacterial small subunit ribosomal RNA", at positions 28 to 507 of the family's 1533-position model. The record is from RNAcentral.
GACGAACGCUGGCGGCGUGCCUAAUACAUGCAAGUAGAACGCUGAAGGAGGAGCUUGCUCUUCUGGAUGAGUUGCGAACGGGUGAGUAACGCGUAGGUAACCUGCCUGGUAGCGGGGGAUAACUAUUGGAAACGAUAGCUAAUACCGCAUAAGAGUAGAUGUUGCAUGACAUUUGCUUAAAAGGUGCAAUUGCAUCACUACCAGAUGGACCUGCGUUGUAUUAGCUAGUUGGUGGGGUAACGGCUCACCAAGGCGACGAUACAUAGCCGACCUGAGAUGGUGAUAGGCCACAAUGGGACUGUGACACGGCCCAGACGCCUACGGAAGGCAGCAGUAGGUGAUCUUUGGCAAUGGACGGAAGUCUGACCGGGCAACGCCGCGGGAGGGAAGAAGGUUUUCGGAUCGUAAAGCUCGGUUGUAAGAGAAGAACGAGUGUGAGAGUGGAAAGUUCACACUGUGACGGUAUCUUACCAGAAAGGGACGGCUAACUACGUG